AAGGUGCUUAUCAAUGUUUGUAUGGCUAGCAUAUCUGUACAUGACUUAAACAAUAAUACUCUUCCCCCAGCAGAAUCCCUAGCGCAAACUGAGUUUAUUUACACGUUUCACACUGAGAUGGCUUUCUUUCACACUGUUUCCCAGUUUACCCUUUUUAAUGGAAGUCCGCCUCACCUUGUGGUGGAGGAAUGGAGGCUGCUGGGGAGAAACUGGCCUUGCGGGAUGAUCCCAAUCCGGAAUUCGACCUGCUGGUGACAAGACAUGCAGAGUGAGGCACAGAGAGAGAAACACAAGGAAAAGUAAAAGCGACAUACCAGGGACAGACAGAUGGACAGAGCGUGAGAGUUGCAGUGAGGACAGGUGUCCAAGACACAGAGAAAGUGCAGAGGGAUGCAGAGCUACAAGGGAACGAGCAGGAGACCACAUUUAAUGACUGAAUACACACAUUGAAGGUGUGUAGCAUGUGCUGAAGGGGUGCGUGUUGCCAUAGCACAGAAUCUCGAUUCCAGCUUAUGUUCUGUGCGUCACAUCUGAUAUAAACCUACCCAUCAGCCUCUAUUUCACUUUGCUGGUGUCGAGUCAAUGCGUAGAGGAUGGACAUGGAGACAACACUGCGGAGAGACAAUAUGGAGGAAGCACACAGGCUCUCGAUACGGCUGUGCUCUCCAGGCCUCACCUGACUGUUCCCCCGCUCACAGUGCUCUUCAUGCUGUCCAGCCGCCG
This is a long non-coding RNA of Brienomyrus brachyistius, 723 nucleotides long. RefSeq lists it as uncharacterized. The transcript is spliced from 3 exons. The record is from RefSeq and is a predicted model, not a curated record. Lineage: Eukaryota; Metazoa; Chordata; Actinopteri; Osteoglossiformes; Mormyridae.